CUGCAAUUCAUUAAUCUCUCGAGUGAGUAAGCCAAUAAGUAGUAGUGGUGGCAAUUCGUGCUCACAGGUCAAGUUAGUGUCGUGUCAACAUAUAAAUAUAACAAAAUUUAGGUCAACACGAACACAAUACGAUUUGGUAAUCAUGUCAAAAUACAAACACCAACACAACCCAUUUUUAAAUGGGUAACAUGCACUGUUUUUAGAAUCUUAUGAUUCUCUAUUCAAAUCUUAUGAUUUGAUUCGAU
This 245-nucleotide unclassified non-coding RNA is filed under the name Hevea brasiliensis (rubber tree). Lineage: Eukaryota; Viridiplantae; Streptophyta; Magnoliopsida; Malpighiales; Euphorbiaceae. The record is from RNAcentral.